This 497-nucleotide ribosomal RNA is filed under the name uncultured bacterium. Its description in RNAcentral is "partial 16S ribosomal RNA". It matches the Rfam family "Bacterial small subunit ribosomal RNA", at positions 28 to 507 of the family's 1533-position model. The record is from RNAcentral.
GAUGAACGCUGGCGGCGUGCCUAAUACAUGCAAGUCGAGCGAACAGACGAGGAGCUUGCUCCUCUGACGUUAGCGGCGGACGGGUGAGUAACACGUGGAUAACCUACCUAUAAGACUGGGAUAACUUCGGGAAACCGGAGCUAAUACCGGAUAAUAUAUUGAACCGCAUGGUUCAAUAGUGAAAGACGGUUUUGCUGUCACUUAUAGCUGGAUCCGCGCCGCAUUAGCUGGUUGGUAAGGUAACGGCUUACCAAGGCGACGAUGCGUAGCCGACCUGAGAGGGUGAUCGGCGACACUGGAACUGAGACACGGACCAGACUCCUACGGGAGGCAGCAGUAGGGAAUCUUACGCAAUGGGCGAAAGCCUGACGGAGCAACGCCGCGUGAGUGAUGAAGGUCUUCGGAUCGUAAAACUCUGUUAUGAGGGAAGAACAAAUGUGUAAGUAACUAUGCACGUCUUGACGGUACCUAAUCAGAAAGCCACGGCUAACUACGUG